This 1139-nucleotide ribosomal RNA is filed under the name Berthella platei. RNAcentral describes it as "eukaryotic LSU rRNA". It matches the Rfam family "Eukaryotic large subunit ribosomal RNA", at positions 22 to 873 of the family's 3401-position model. Lineage: Eukaryota; Metazoa; Mollusca; Gastropoda; Pleurobranchida; Pleurobranchidae. The record is from RNAcentral.
UACCCGCUGAAUUUAAGCAUAUCAAUAAGCGGAGGAAAAGAAACUAACCAGGAUUCCCCCAGUAACGGCGAGUGAAGCGGGAAAAGCCCAGCACCGAAUCCCCCGGCGACACCGUCGGCGGGAACUGUGGUGUAUGGGACGCCAACAGCCUUGCCCGGACGGCACACAAGUCCUCCUGAUAGAGGCCCUUCCCCGUGCGGGUGUGAGGCCUUUGGACGGUGCCCGUCCGGCUCGGCCGUGAGCGUCUCUGGAGUCGGGUUGUUUGAGAAUGCAGCCCUAAGCGGGUGGUAGAUUCCAUCUAAGGCUAAAUACCUGUGCGAGUCCGAUAGUUGACAAGUACCGUGAGGGAAAGUUGAAAAGAACUUUNNNNNCUCAGAGGUAAACGGGUGGAACCGCAACACGCACUGCCCGCGGGAUUCAGCCCGUCCCCCAGGUCGCCUGUCCACGCGUCCCCGCGCAGGGGCACCCCCAACGCGUUCGCGCGCGCAGGGGGAGCCCCAGGGACAGCAAGGAAGGCCGGCCGGGGGCGGGUGCAUUUCCCGCGGGCGGUAAGCCACGACCGGUUUCGGGGCGGCCAUAAGCCCGCCGGGGAAGGUAGGAUCGUUCGGGCCCGCGAUACGCCUUCGCGCGCCUCGUCCGAGCGACCCGUUACAGCCCCGGCGGGAGCACAAUCAUACGGCGCCCGCCCCUCGAGACCGAGGACGCCCAACGCACCGGCCCGCCAGUGUCGCCCGCGUCCGGCCCCCCUACCAGUCCACGGGGGUGCCCGGGCCCGCGGGCUCGACCGGCGGGAUGGCAGCAGGGUCCGUGGUGAAGCAGUCGGCACUCCACCCGACCCGUCUUGAAACACGGACCAAGAAGUCUGGCGUGCGCGCGAGUCAAUGGGUCGUACGAAACCCCAGGGCGCAGCGAAAGCGAAAGGUGGGAUCCCCCGCACCGGGCUAAUCCCUCGGGCGGAGGCGCACCACCGGCCCGCCCCGGACCGCCGCCACCCCGCGCGCGCGCGUGUCUAGCAAUAGUAUGCGUGCGUGUUGUCGGGGAGGAUGUCGGUGGGGCGGAGCUCGAGCGCGCACGCCGGGACCCGAAAGAUGGUGAACUAUGCCUGAGCAGGCCGAAGCCAGAGGAAACUCUGGUGGAAG